This is a long non-coding RNA of Mauremys reevesii (Reeves's turtle), 511 nucleotides long. RefSeq lists it as uncharacterized. The record is from RefSeq and is a predicted model, not a curated record. Lineage: Eukaryota; Metazoa; Chordata; Testudines; Geoemydidae. The transcript is spliced from 3 exons.
UUGUCCCUCUAAAACUGGGCCAGCUGGUAACCCUACCAGGAGGGCUUCCUGACCUUGAAAGCAAAGAUAAACUUUGAGGCGAUCAGCAGACCAAGAGCCAUUUUAGCAGCCUUCACUUAAGGAGACAAACCCAGCGCUUUGAGCUCUGUGUUGGAUCCUGGCAGCCAGGAAGAACGACUGUGGAAGGACACAACUUGUCAUUAACACAGGCAACUCAAAGGAUUUGAGAAGGCAAGUAAUAAUUAUCUAGUGUAGCGGUGUGUGACUGAACCCAGCAAGAGAAGAUUUUACUUGGGAGCCUCACCAAACAGAAGCCAUGUCCACCUGGAGAGGAUUUGGUGAGUUCUAAACCCAGGAGUCGGUGUAGGCACAAGUGAGAGAGACCUGAGACUGAAUCACGGAAGUGCUCACCUGCGCAGGAUGUGAUGCUGUUAGUGCCCACAGCUACAGCCCAGAACACCUCUGCAGGGGCCCUACAGGUCACACAGGAAUUUUGAUUAUUGCUGUACCG